AAUUGAAGAGUUUGAUCCUGGCUCAGAUUGAACGCUGGCGGCAUGGCUAAAACAUGCAAGUCGAACGAGAACCCCUUCGGGGGGGACAGUGGCGAAAGGGCGAGUAACGCGAUCGAACGUACCCCGAGGUGGGGGAUAGCGACGGGAAACUGUCGGUAAGACCCCAUGUGCUCUACGGAGGAAAGGUUUACCGCCUCGGGAGCGGCGAUCGUCCUAUCAGGUAGUUGGUGAGGUAAAGGCUCACCAAGCCGAAGACGGGUAGCGGGUGUGAGAGCACGACCCGCCGCAUCGGGACUGAGACACUGCCCGGACUCCUACGGGAGGCUGCAGUAACGAAUCUUCCGCAAUGGGCGCAAGCCUGACGGAGCAAUGCCGCGUGCAGGAUGAAGCGUCUUCGACGUGUAAACUGCUGUCAGGGUUUAGGAACAAUGACCAGACCCAGAGGAAGGGCCGGCUAACUCUGUGCCAGCAGCCGCGGUAAUACAGAGGGCCCGAGCGUUAGUCGGAAUUACUGGGCUUAAAGGGUGCGCAGGCGGAUCGGCAGGCAUCUUGUGAAAUCCCCCGGCUCAACCGGGGAAUUGCGGGGUGAACCGCCGGUCUUGAGGCAGGUAGGGGCCAGUGGAACCAUGGGUGGAGCGGUGAAAUGCGUAGAUAUCCAUGGGAACGCCGAUGGCGAAGGCAGCUGGCUGGGCCUGUCCUGACGCUCAGGCACGAAAGCGUGGGGAGCAAACGGGAUUAGAUACCCCGGUAGUCCACGCCGUAAACGAUGUGCACUAGGUCGAGGUGGCUCUCACGCCUUCUCGGCCGAAGUAAAAACGUUAAGUGCACCGCCUGGGGAGUACGGUCGCAAGGCUAAAACUCAAAGGAAUUGACGGGGGCUCACACAAGCGGUGGAGCAUGUUGCUUAAUUCGAGGCAACGCGAAGAGAUUAACCUUUCGAAAGAUAGGCCACGCCUUCGGGUGGAACAUGCACAGGUGCUGCAUGGCUGUCGUCAGCUCGUGCUGUGAAGUGUCGGGUUAAGUCCCUUAACGAGCGCAACCCCUAUCGUUAGUUGCUAACGCGUCAUGGCGAGUACUCUAGCGAGACUGCCGGUGUCAAACCGGAGGAAGGUGGGGAUGACGUCAAGUCCUCAUGGCCCUUACAUCCAGGGAUGCAAACGUGCUACAAUGGUGUCGACAAAGCGAAGCAAGGCCGCGAGGCGGAGCAAAUCGCAAAAACGGCGCCCCAGUUCGGAUUGCAGGCUGCAACCCGCCUGCAUGAAGCCGGAAUCGCUAGUAAUCGCGCAUCAGCUACGGCGCGGUGAAUACGUUCCUGAGCCUUGUACACACCGCCCGUCACGUCAUGGAAGCCGGGAGCGCCCGAAGUCACGCUGAUUCAAGCGUGCCUACGGCGAGAUCGGUGACUGGGACGAAGUCGUAACAAGGUAGCCGUAGGAGAACCUGCGGCUGGAUCACCUCCUUUCUA
This 1465-nucleotide ribosomal RNA is filed under the name Cyanobacteria bacterium CYA. Its description in RNAcentral is "bacterial SSU rRNA". It matches the Rfam family "Bacterial small subunit ribosomal RNA". Lineage: Bacteria; Bacillati; Cyanobacteriota. The record is from RNAcentral.